This 813-nucleotide long non-coding RNA is filed under the name Daphnia pulex (common water flea). RNAcentral describes it as "uncharacterized LOC124201764". Lineage: Eukaryota; Metazoa; Arthropoda; Branchiopoda; Diplostraca; Daphniidae. The record is from RNAcentral.
UACCGACUUUUCACGGUACAAUGUAAGGCGGUAGGGUUCGCCCCGACGACCGUAGGCACGGUAGCGCUCGUGGUGGCGGAGGGCUACAACACACUGUCCUACAACAUACUGUCAAUAUAAACAAAGCAGUUCAAAAGUGUCAAUUCAGGUUUAUUGCAGGUUUAGUGCCGUUUCUCACAGUCACAGUAUGUCAGGUAGAUAUUUGAUGAAAGAUUCUCUGACCAGGCAUCGAGCCAGAACCAAAGCCGAUAAAAGAAAAAAUUAUGCUUUACAACAGGAACCUAAACGUUCAGGUAACUUCUUGACCGUAAUUUUGGCAGAGGCAGAGGCCGAGUUACCCAGUCUGAUAAAGUUGUAGCAGUUUCUAAUCAAGAAACUGCUAGUGAAAUAACUCCCAGUCUAAUGAAAGAAGUGGUGUACAGGAUAUCAUUCAUUUAGUCGCACUGGAAAAUACAUCAUUGAAGCAAGCAUUUCACAAUUUAACAAGAAGAAAAAGGAACCAAUCAAGAAAGCGAGUGGAAAACUCGCAUAGAAGACAAAGAAGAUGCUUGUGAUGCCAAGAGAGAUGCUGUCUUUCAAAACUACAUUAGCUCCCGUUCCUAUUGUGCAAUGUCCCUUCCUGUCCAGAAUGCAAAAGCCCUCAUUCGUCAUUCGUGUACUACGAAACCUGGUUCAAGAGACGUGACCGUAGGACCGAGGACAAUGAAGAAAUCAAUUCAUAUCCAUAGUUUAAUACGCUCACAUAUAUUUAUGCAAAUCUUGUAAUCACAUUUGAAAUACCGCUAUUGUUUGAAGGGAAUAAAAGUAUUAUUA